Molecule: long non-coding RNA, 1547 nt
Organism: Anser cygnoides (Swan goose)
Lineage: Eukaryota; Metazoa; Chordata; Aves; Anseriformes; Anatidae
Source: Ensembl
AAUGCCAUUCCAGCAGAUUUUUUUAAAGAGUUUUUUUUUUUCUAUUUUUAAAGCAGAGGUAAUGGAAAAGAUGUAGUCAACAACCUGAUGGGAUCGUUUGGGGACAGGCAGACCCUUCAUAGUGGUGCCCAGAGACAAGACAAGAGGCAAUAGGCACAACCUGAAAUACAGGAAGCAUGAACCAAAGGAGUAUUUGUGUGCCCCAUCCUGACCAUAGCCUUCAUCCACAAACCAGAUCCUGAGCCAUGAUUAGUGCUGACAGAGUGUUCACCAAGCACUUCAGAGGUGCUGCUGGUGUUCAAGAGAACCAGAGAAUGGGCCAAGCCAGGCUGUCCCAGCCAGCAGUUUGCCCCAGAAGAAAAUCUGUACUGCAUGAGGCCUUUUGCAGUGAUUGCCAGGCUUUGAACUACUCUUUAAAGUACUUGUGAGGCAAGGCGGUUCUACUUUGGGAUCUGAAAAGAAAAUGUAAUGCUUUUUAAAGUCAGACCUACAUAUUUCUUUCUUUUGCUCAGUACCUCUCAACACUGCAGAGCAGGAUAACACCUUGAUUCAACUGCUGCUGAGAGUGCUCUAAACAUGUCUGCUUUCUAUCAGCUCUCUUUAGCUAAACAGUAACCUUCUUCCUGGAAGAGCUAUUGUUCCUUACAGGAGACCACUAUCUAAAACACCAGACCACUUAUCUUUACCUUGUGGCAAGCCCCCUCUAUUUCUGUUAGCCCUGGGAGACAACAUCCCUGUAAAUAAUUUAAAUGCUUCACAAGCCAGUUGAUUAGCAACAUGAAUACAAAUGCAGGUUGCCACAGCCGGUCUUAUACAGCAGCCUGAAAUGCUGUGAAAUAUCUGAAAUAUCUGCAGAUAUGUAAAGUAUUAGUUUGUAUUUGUGACCCUGGCUUAUAUAAAUGUUCAGUUGCAAUUGAAUAGCACAACCAACCAUAAACUUUGCCUCUGGAUCAGAGCAUGGGAUGUGACUGAAAAAUUUGGCACAGCAAUUACAAAAUGUCAAAUGAACUUCAUUUCAUCUACACAAGCAUGAAGUAUUUUACUAAAUGUCUGAUAACGUAAGAGUAGGAUUAGGAGGGGUCCUGGCAGAAAUUCCUAUGGCUUUGCCUCCUUCACCGCUCCCCAUCGCUUCAGAGAUAAAGAUGAUGGUUUCCAGGGUAACUGGAUGGACACACACAAAAAAGGACGCAUUGUCUAAUUUGGUUUUCUGAGACUGUCAGAGGACUGCUUGGCCAGAAGCAUAGCCUAAAAAUGAUUAUAAAGGAGAUUUGUAGUUUAUUUAAUCACACAUUUUAAUUCUCAGUCAUUGCCUUAUGCACUUUUUCAGUCUUAAGGGUGAUUCUCAUAUUCAAAUGCACAGUUUCUAAUACGUACGAAUACUUCAAAAUUCAUGGGCCAUUAUUAAAGGCACACACAGGGCAGAUGGUCCUGUUGUGUAUGUGCAUAUGUUAUCCACUGAGGGAGCUUGUAUUUUGUUUCAUGCCAUGCCUAUGUACAAAUGUAAGGAUUUGAAUAAACUGUACAUUUCUCUAUGAUAUUUAUGCGUC